AGUGAACGCUGGCGGUAGGCCUAACACAUGCAAGUCGAACGGCAGCACAGUAAGAGCUUGCUCUUACGGGUGGCGAGUGGCGGACGGGUGCGGAAUACAUCGGAAUCUACUUUUUCGUGGGGGAUAACGUAGGGACACUUACGCUAAUACCGCAUACGACCUACGGGUGAAAGCAGGGGAUCUUCGGACCUUGCGCGAGUGAAUGAGCCGAUGUCGGAUUAGCUAGUUGGCGGGGUAAAGGCCCACCAAGGCGACGAUCCGUAGCUGGUCUGAGAGGAUGAUCAGUCACACUGGAACUGAGACACGGUCCAGACUCCUACGGGAGGCAGCAGUGGGGAAUAUUGGACAAUGGGCGCAAGCCUGAUCCAGCCAUGCCGCGUGUGUGAAGAAGGCCUUCGGGUUGUAAAGCCCUUUUGGUUGGAAAGAAAAGCAGCAGGUUAAUACCCCGCUGUUCUGACGGUACCAAAAGAAUAAGCACCGGCUAACUUCGUG
RNAcentral lists this ribosomal RNA (492 nucleotides) under uncultured bacterium. RNAcentral describes it as "partial 16S ribosomal RNA". It matches the Rfam family "Bacterial small subunit ribosomal RNA", at positions 29 to 507 of the family's 1533-position model. The record is from RNAcentral.